This 440-nucleotide small RNA is filed under the name Mangrovibacter sp. MFB070. RNAcentral's name for it is "cspA thermoregulator". It matches the Rfam family "cspA thermoregulator". Lineage: Bacteria; Pseudomonadati; Pseudomonadota; Gammaproteobacteria; Enterobacterales; Enterobacteriaceae. The record is from Rfam by way of RNAcentral.
UUCUGUUUAUGUGUGGCAUUUUCAGUAAAGAAGUUUUGAGUAAACACGUUGUCGUUGAAUACCGCUUCUCUGCCGAACCUUUUAUUAGUGCCUCAAGCAGUAAUGUCUCUGUUUUAUCUCAGGUAUGCCUGUGGGCGUAGAAACAAACUAAGGAAAUUUAGAAAUGGCAAAGAUCAAAGGUCAAGUUAAGUGGUUCAACGAAGCAAAAGGUUUUGGUUUCAUUACUCCUGCUGAUGGCAGCAAAGAUGUGUUCGUUCACUUCUCUGCAAUCCAGGGUAACGGCUUCAAAACUCUGGCUGAAGGCCAGAACGUAGAGUUCGAAAUUCAGGAUGGUCAGAAAGGCCCGGCAGCGGUUAACGUUGUAGCGCUGUAAGUUGCACGGCGCAAGCCACGCACAUACAUCACAAUUCAAAAGCCUCGCUUAUAGCGGGGCUUUUAUC